CAGUAGUUUGAUCCUCGAGCGUGGCGAGUGUGUGGGACGAUUCCCUCGCCGAGAACUUUGACAAACUCCUCGCUCUGGUAUGUUUCCACCAGGUGCUUUCGCAAAUCUCUGGCGCUCACGCCAGCUUUUAGCUUCACAUAAAUGGUCGAUUGCAUGCCUCGGCUCUGUUGCAUUGAAACCGCGACGAUAACAUAAGAGGAAGGAGACGUAAGUUUCUUUACCAUUGGCAUCAAAUGUGGUGUGAAGCUGACUUUGAGCUUGGAGCCAGCUGCUUGUGCCAGGCCCUGCUCGAUCUCUGGCACUGCAAAACAAAUCAAAACGUGAGCUUUUCUUACGUGAAACGAGGAACGUGG
RNAcentral lists this long non-coding RNA (353 nucleotides) under Selaginella moellendorffii. Its description in RNAcentral is "long non-coding RNA (SMOE_LNC001444)". The record is from RNAcentral. Lineage: Eukaryota; Viridiplantae; Streptophyta; Lycopodiopsida; Selaginellales; Selaginellaceae.